AAUCAACGCUGGCGGCGUGCUUAACACAUGCAAGUCGAACGGUAAGGCCCUUCGGGGUACGACGAGUGGCGAACGGGUGAGUAACACGUGGGUGAUCUGCCCUGCACUUUGGGAUAAGCCUGGGAAACUGGGUCUAAUACCGAAUACACCUCAUUGGCUGCAUGGCUGGUGGGGGAAAGCUUUUGCGGUGUGGGAUGGGCCCGCGGCCUAUCAGCUUGUUGGUGGGGGUGAUGGCCUACCAAGGCGACGACGGGUAGCCGGCCUGAGAGGGUGUCCGGCCACACUGGGACUGAGAUACGGCCCAGACUCCUACGGGAGGCA
RNAcentral lists this ribosomal RNA (321 nucleotides) under uncultured bacterium. Its description in RNAcentral is "bacterial SSU rRNA". It matches the Rfam family "Bacterial small subunit ribosomal RNA", at positions 32 to 350 of the family's 1533-position model. The record is from RNAcentral.